This 145-nucleotide ribosomal RNA is filed under the name uncultured eukaryote. RNAcentral describes it as "partial 18S ribosomal RNA". It matches the Rfam family "Eukaryotic small subunit ribosomal RNA", at positions 1299 to 1458 of the family's 1831-position model. The record is from RNAcentral.
UGGUGGAGUGAUUUGUCUGGUUAAUUCCGUUAACGAACGAGACCUCGACCUGCUAAAUAGUUUGCGAAUUCUUCGGGAUUUGAUUAUUAAAACUUCUUAGAGGGACUAUCGGUGAUUUAGCCGACGGAAGUUCGAGGCAAUAACA